UACGGAGGGUGCGAGCGUUAAUCGGAAUAACUGGGCGUAAAGGGCACGCAGGCGGGCGGUUAAGUGAGAUGUGAAAGCCCCGGGCUUAACCUGGGAAUAGCAUUUCAGACUGGGAGUCUAGAGUACUGUAGGGAGGGGUAGAAUUCCACGUGUAGCGGUGAAAUGCGUAGAGAUGUGGAGGAAUACCGAUGGCGAAGGCAGCCCCGUGGGAAAAGACUGACGCUCAUGUGCGAAAGCGUGGGGAGCAAACAGG
This 253-nucleotide ribosomal RNA is filed under the name uncultured bacterium. Its description in RNAcentral is "partial 16S ribosomal RNA". It matches the Rfam family "Bacterial small subunit ribosomal RNA", at positions 524 to 776 of the family's 1533-position model. The record is from RNAcentral.